CCUACGGGCGGCAGCAGUGAGGAAUAUUGGUCAAUGGACGAGAGUCUGAACCAGCCAAGUCGCGUGAAGGAUGACUGCACUAUGGGUUGUAAACUUCUUUUAUAUGGGAAUAAAAUGUUCCACGUGUGGGCUUUUGUAUGUACCAUAUGAAUAAGCAUCGGCUAACUCCGUGCCAGCAGCCGCGGUAAUACGGAGGAUUCGAGCGUUAUCCGGAUUUAUUGGGUUUAAAGGGUGCGGAGGUGGUUUGUUAAGUCAGUUGUUAAAGUUUGGGGCUCAACCGUAACAGUGCAGUUGAAACUGGCAGUCGUGAGUACAAGAGAGGUGGGCGGAAUUCGUGGUGUAGCGGUGAAAUGCUUAGAUAUCACGAAGAACUCCGAUUGCGAAGGCAGCAUGCUGGACUGCAACUGACGCUGAGGCACGAAAGUGUGGGUAUCAAACAGGAUUAGAUACCCUUGUAGUC
This 460-nucleotide ribosomal RNA is filed under the name uncultured bacterium. Its description in RNAcentral is "partial 16S ribosomal RNA". It matches the Rfam family "Bacterial small subunit ribosomal RNA", at positions 338 to 795 of the family's 1533-position model. The record is from RNAcentral.